Molecule: ribosomal RNA, 606 nt
Filed under: Blastobotrys sp.
Lineage: Eukaryota; Fungi; Ascomycota; Dipodascomycetes; Dipodascales; Trichomonascaceae
Description: partial large subunit ribosomal RNA
Rfam family: Eukaryotic large subunit ribosomal RNA
Source: RNAcentral
AAGGCUAAAUAUAGGCGAGAGACCGAUAGUGAACAAGUACAGUGAUGGAAAGAUGAAAAGAACUUUGAAAAGAGAGUGAAAAAGUACGUGAAAUUGUUGAAAGGGAAGGGCUUGAGAUCAGACUUGGAUUUUAAUGAUCAACUGUCUUUCGGGACUGUGCACUCGUUAUUUUCUAGGCCAACAUCAGUUUUGACGGUGAGAAAAAAGUAAUGGAAUGUGACUUUGCUUCGGUAAAGUGUUAUAGCCAUCUACAAAUAUCACCAGUCGAGACUGAGGACCGCGCAUUUAUGCUAGGAUGUUGGCGUAAUGAUCUUAAGCCACCCGUCUUGAAACACGGACCAAGGAGUCUAACGUCUAUGCGAGUGUUAGGGUGUAAAACCCUUGCGCGUAAUGAAAGUGAACGUAGAGGAGAACCUCUUAGGUGCAUCCUCGACCGAUCCUGAUGUCUUCGGAUGGAUUUGAGUAAGAGCAUAGCUGUUGGGACCCGAAAGAUGGUGAACUAUGCCUGAAUAGGGUGAAGCCAGAGGAAACUCUGGUGGAGGCUCGUAGCGAUUCUGACGUGCAAAUCGAUCGUCAAAUUUGGGUAUAGGGGCGAAAGACUAAUCG